UCCCGCUUAGCUCAGUGGUAGAGCGCAUCACUAGUACCCCUGGUGCAUGAUGAGGUCAGUCGUUCAAGUCGGCUAGUGGGAA
Molecule: transfer RNA, 82 nt
Filed under: Polyporus arcularius HHB13444
Lineage: Eukaryota; Fungi; Basidiomycota; Agaricomycetes; Polyporales; Polyporaceae
Rfam family: tRNA
About the family: Transfer RNA (tRNA) molecules are approximately 80 nucleotides in length. Their secondary structure includes four short double-helical elements and three loops (D, anti-codon, and T loops).
Source: Rfam by way of RNAcentral